Molecule: long non-coding RNA, 287 nt
Filed under: Capsicum annuum
Lineage: Eukaryota; Viridiplantae; Streptophyta; Magnoliopsida; Solanales; Solanaceae
Description: long non-coding RNA (CANN_LNC003562)
Source: RNAcentral
ACUUUAACACUUGAACUUAACUUUCGUUUAUUUAUCCCCUUAACAUCUUUAAAGUGAAUUAAUUUCAUUCCUUAAUAUAUAUUAUCACUCUCAUAAUGGAGAGUGUGUUACACUCUCCACACCUCAGCGUCACCUCAACACCACGUCAUUACCAUGUAAAAUUUUAUAAUUUAUUUUAAAAAAGUAAUUUCACACAUAUAUUAUUUUUGUAUAUAUAUAUACAUAUAUAUAUAUAUAAGAAUUAAAUAAAAAUGUCCUCCCCCUCCUUUUCCUUCUUCUUUAGCCCC